RNAcentral lists this long non-coding RNA (351 nucleotides) under Bos taurus (domestic cattle). RNAcentral's name for it is "long non-coding RNA NONBTAT001740". The record is from RNAcentral. Lineage: Eukaryota; Metazoa; Chordata; Mammalia; Artiodactyla; Bovidae.
UCGUCUGUCUAGCACAGUUGUUGGUGAAGUUUAGUAACUCCGUGUCAGACCACUAGCACAAAACCUAGUCAGUUAACAUAUAAAUGCCAGCCGCUACACAACCCAGUAUUCCAUAUCUGAAGUGCACGUAGGGCUUUGUCGUAGAGCAGGUGAUCAGCUGUAGGCUUGAUGGCUGAAGUUUUAACACAUUGAUUGGACAGACUCUAAUUUUAUGAGAUAUAAUUUAUGAGAUACUUGUAUAAAAUUUUAAUCUCUUCUUGACACUUAAGAAAUUUUUUCAAAGUUCCUUUGGUAUUUUUUCCUUAUAUGUCAAAUUUUUAAAUAUAGAUACCAAAUUGAAUAUAAAAUUCA